This 370-nucleotide ribosomal RNA is filed under the name uncultured bacterium. Its description in RNAcentral is "bacterial SSU rRNA". It matches the Rfam family "Bacterial small subunit ribosomal RNA", at positions 527 to 896 of the family's 1533-position model. The record is from RNAcentral.
GGAGGGUGCAAGCGUUAAUCAGAAUUACUGGGCGUAAAGAGCGCGUAGGUGGUUUUUUAAGUCAGGUGUGAAAUCCCUAGGCUCAACCUAGGAACUGCAUUUGAAACUGGAAAACUAGAGUUUCGUAGAGGGAGGUAGAAUUCUAGGUGUAGCGGUGAAAUGCGUAGAUAUCUGGAGGAAUACCCGUGGCGAAAGCGGCCUCCUAAACGAAAACUGACACUGAGGCGCGAAAGCGUGGGAGCAAACAGGAUUAGAUACCCCUGGUAGUCCAUGCCGUAAACGAUGUCGACUUGGAGGUUGUUUCCAAGAGAAGUGACUUCCGAAGCUAACGCAUUAAGUCGACCGCCUGGGGAGUACGGCCGCAAGGCUA